CCCCUGUCACAACGGCUUCCUGGCGUGACGGGAUGAACCCAAUGGAGCA
Regulatory RNA element from Rhodobacteraceae bacterium EhC02, 49 nucleotides. It matches the Rfam family "SAM/SAH riboswitch aptamer". NCBI's taxonomy places the organism in Bacteria, Pseudomonadati, Pseudomonadota, Alphaproteobacteria, Rhodobacterales, Paracoccaceae. The record is from Rfam.